This 430-nucleotide ribosomal RNA is filed under the name Pseudomonadota bacterium. RNAcentral's name for it is "Proteobacteria bacterium partial 16S ribosomal RNA". It matches the Rfam family "Bacterial small subunit ribosomal RNA", at positions 355 to 776 of the family's 1533-position model. Lineage: Bacteria; Pseudomonadati; Pseudomonadota. The record is from RNAcentral.
UGGUGAAUAUUGGACAAUGGGGGGAACCCUGAUCCAGCCAUGCCGCGUGUGUGAAGAAGGCCUUAUGGUUGUAAAGCACUUUAAGCGAGGAGGAGGGUACUGGUAUUAAUACUACCAGCUACUGGACGUUACUCGCAGAAUAAGCACCGGCUAACUCUGUGCCAGCAGCCGCGGUAAUACAGAGGGUGCGAGCGUUAAUCGGAUUUACUGGGCGUAAAGCGUGCGUAGGCGGCUAAUUGAGUCGGAUGUGAAAUCCCCGAGCUUAACUUGGGAAUUGCAUUCGAUACUGGUUAGCUAGAGUGUGGGAGAGGAUGGUAGAAUUCCAGGUGUAGCGGUGAAAUGCGUAGAGAUCUGGAGGAAUACCGAUGGCGAAGGCAGCCAUCUGGCCUAACACUGACGCUGAGGUACGAAAGCAUGGGGAGCAAACAGG